CUGGCCCAAAUACAUUGGGCUGUAAAAAUCCAAGGCCCAACAAAAUGGUCAAAUUCUUGCUUUGGAAAAACCGAAUAUUCAAAAUAAAGUGGUUUUGGGCAUAGUAGCUGAUCAGCACCCCCAAUCUCUAAUGAGUCAAUAGAUUUAAAUCACCGGCUGAGCUCCCCAAUCCAGAGAAUGGAAGUAGUUGGGCGUUGCAUUGAUCUUCCCUAUAAGAGGUUGUGUUGAUGAAGUGAAAGUACAGAGCAAUGACAUUUUCAAUGAAGGCAGCUGUAUCGUGCAGGUCCUUGCGUGCUUCUUUUCUCUCCUGAGCUUAGGUGAGGAUUUGGUGAGGGAGCCCAACUG
RNAcentral lists this long non-coding RNA (345 nucleotides) under Aquilegia coerulea. RNAcentral's name for it is "long non-coding RNA (ACOE_LNC000554)". The record is from RNAcentral. Lineage: Eukaryota; Viridiplantae; Streptophyta; Magnoliopsida; Ranunculales; Ranunculaceae.